UGAUAUAUAAUUAUUUCUUGUACACUCAAUGUCAAAGAAAGAUUGCCAAAUAUGCAGGCAAUACUUUUGAUGAUUUUAUUAGCUUAGCUGUAUACCAACUUCCUAGCCCCUGAGACUUCACUAUUUUCUCUGGACAGUUCAAAGGAAAAGCUUCUUCUAGCUUCAUCUUUAAGAUGAAUCUUUUGCUAGAAAAGCAUUUUGCAGGGGAGAAAUAUCUGCUCCUGAAAAAUUCCCUUUGCCUGAAUUUAGCAACAUGAAGCUUUUAUAACAGUAGAUGCAGUCCAAACUCCCCUUAAGCUCUCACUUCACUCCAACAAGAUCUGUUUUAUAACUAGGCCAUACCACUUUCUUAGUUCUUUAUCUCUUGAGUAGCUGCUCUUUAGUUCCAGCUAGAGACUAUUACUGAUUCCUGAAGCAGUGUCUACUGAUCAAAUAGCAAAUUAGUAUUUAUUUUGGAAAUUAGAACAGGGAGUGUGAUUUUAUUAGAUUUUAAAGCUGGAUUUUUUUUAUUUUGUGCUCAGUUUAAGCAAUUAAAAUAAUUGCUCUAAUUCAAUUAUAUAUCUAGAUAAACAAAUACCAGCUUUUCAUUUUUUUGUUCUCCUCCUUGUUCUCUUUUAGGACAGAAGCCUAAUGGAGAAGUCUUGCCUAGUACGAAAAGGAACAUAAAUUGUCUGCAUCAAGUGGUAAUAAGGAAAUAUUGUUUAUUCUUUUCAGAGAUUGGAAAAUCUUUUCCAGGUGUAAUUUAUGACCUGCACCUGUGUACAGCAUAAAUGACUCAGGUGAGAUGUGAAGACUGCCUCUUUUGAGGCUAGAAAGUCUCCACAUUUCUAAUGAAGCACUGGAGAGAUCUGUGCUCAAGCACUUAUCUCUUGAUGGAGAAAUCUUGUUACCUAGUGACGUGUAUUAAAUAAUCUGUUUGGAGGAGGUCACAACAUUGAAAAGAUUCAACUGAAGAAUGUUUUGGUCUUCCUGUCCUGCAGCCAGGAAGAUGACUAAGAAGGACCUAUUCCAAUCAAAGUUACAGUAGUAAAUCCUCUCUUAGCUAACUUCUCUGUUAGUGUGUGAAAUACACUGUUGUGACUUCUCUGUAUUGC
Molecule: long non-coding RNA, 1094 nt
Filed under: Apteryx owenii (little spotted kiwi)
Lineage: Eukaryota; Metazoa; Chordata; Aves; Apterygiformes; Apterygidae
Description: lncRNA (ENSAOWG00000017284.1)
Source: RNAcentral